CAGUUUCCAACACCAUUCCCCACGUUAGGUUGCACUCCCAAAUGCAUCCUGUAAUGGGAUGCAUUGGUAGGACUGGAAAAUUAUUCCCCUUGAUGUGGCGUGUAUACAUAAAUGUGCGAGCACGCGGGUGCAUGUGCACAUACAUUUGUGUACAUAAACCGUACUUGCACAAGGUGAGUGUAACCAGACUGUGAUUAGUACCCACGGAUACGCCAAGCAGUGCUGCCUUUUAGAGUGCCACAGAAGCAUUCGUCUUUGUCCCCUGGAAUUAGCUUAGUCCAUGUGGUAACACAAGCCUCCUGUGUUAAGGAAUAAACAUUUAUAUUUUUAGAUGACUGGCCUUUGAAGGUUCAUUAUCUACAUGCAACAAUUUUCUAACCAGAAAAUCUUUUCAGAGUUAUAAAAAAGCAUAUUCAUACAGGCCUGUAAAUGACUGGCCCAGAAUUCACUUAACAGCAACCACCAAUCUUACUUUGGCGGAGAUAAGAGGACCUGGUAACAAGUUCUAUUACACUCAAGAGAAAACUGAAUAUAAAGCUCCUGUCUUAGCAAUUUAAGUGAAAGUGUUGCCCUUCUGCAUGGCUGAAAGCUUCACACUGUGCUGAGAAUAAACUUGCAGACAGCAAUGACAGCUGUGGGAAUGAUGCCACAUAUUAAAAUGUUUAAAGUUUCCUCGUGGAUGACAACAGGAGAAGUCAUCCAGCAGAGCAUCGCUCUGCUCAGGUACAGGUCAGCUGAGACGAGGAGGAACAUUCUGGGAACAAAGACAUGGAAAUCGGGAAUCCAGUUCCCCGAUCUCGGUGCUCCGUGCUGUCACAGCCACACGAAGAGCGAGCAGAACGAGAUUCGCAAGGAAUAACCUCCGGAUGGGGGACUUUCCCAGUUGUCAUCAAGCCAAGGGAGCAACUCCGCGAUGUUUCUCCCUGAGCCCUUGUUACCAGGGCAAAAAGAGACCAUUCUGCUGCAACCAGAGAAGAAAAAACCCUCCCGGCCUUCAUGUGCCUGCUCCAACCUCCCUGCACGAGCCCUGGCUUAUUGAAUAGGUUGCAACAAGCCAGAGAAACCCAGUCUAGGUUUUUCUCAGCACCACCAGGUCCUCUGUAAAACAGGCAGGUUUUGAAGUUUGGCUUGUUGUUCCUCAA
RNAcentral lists this long non-coding RNA (1142 nucleotides) under Anser brachyrhynchus (Pink-footed goose). Its description in RNAcentral is "lncRNA (ENSABRG00000008371.1)". The record is from RNAcentral. Lineage: Eukaryota; Metazoa; Chordata; Aves; Anseriformes; Anatidae.